CUUGACACUGAACAUUGAGCCUUGAUGUGUAGGAUAGGUGGGAGGCUUGGAAGUGUGGACGCCAGUCUGCAUGGAGCCGACCUUGAAAUACCACCCUUUAAUGUUUGAUGUUCUAACGUUGACCCGUAAUCCGGGUUGCGGACAGUGUCUGGUGGGUAGUUUGACUGGGGCGGUCUCCUCCUAAAGAGUAACGGAGGAGCACGAAGGUUGGCUAAUCCUGGUCGGACAUCAGGAGGUUAGUGCAAUG
This 247-nucleotide ribosomal RNA is filed under the name Escherichia coli. RNAcentral's name for it is "partial 23S ribosomal RNA". It matches the Rfam family "Bacterial large subunit ribosomal RNA", at positions 2110 to 2356 of the family's 2925-position model. The record is from RNAcentral. Lineage: Bacteria; Pseudomonadati; Pseudomonadota; Gammaproteobacteria; Enterobacterales; Enterobacteriaceae.